AUCCCAUGGUGAGGGAAUUUGAAUAUUAACUUUUUAAAUCUUUCCUAUGCCUCGUAUAAGGAUUCAGAAUCUAUUUACUGAAAAGUAGUGAUCUCAUUCCACAACUU
This is a non-coding RNA of Gossypium hirsutum (cotton), 107 nucleotides long. The record is from Rfam. Lineage: Eukaryota; Viridiplantae; Streptophyta; Magnoliopsida; Malvales; Malvaceae.